GGUGGAACCUACCUAUAAGACUGGGAUAACUCCGGGAAACCGGGGCAAUACCGGAUAACACAUGAAACCGCAUGGUUUCAUGAUGAAAGACGGUUUUGCUGUCACUUAUAGAUGGACCCGCGGCGUAUUAGCUAGUUGGUAAGGUAACGGCUUACCAAGGCAACGAUACGUAGCCGACCUGAGAGGGUGAUCGGCCACACUGGAACUGAGACACGGUCCAGACUCCUACGGGAGGCAGCAGC
This 242-nucleotide ribosomal RNA is filed under the name uncultured Staphylococcus sp. RNAcentral describes it as "partial 16S ribosomal RNA". It matches the Rfam family "Bacterial small subunit ribosomal RNA", at positions 118 to 355 of the family's 1533-position model. The record is from RNAcentral. Lineage: Bacteria; Bacillati; Bacillota; Bacilli; Caryophanales; Staphylococcaceae.